UGACCGGGGUUGCGGACAGUGUCUGGUGGGUAGUUUGACUGGGGCGGUCUCCUCCUAAAGAGUAACGGAGGAGCACGAAGGUUGGCUAAUCCUGGUCGGACAUCAGGAGGUUAGUGCAAUGGCAUAAGCCAGCUUGACUGCGAGCGUGACGGCGCGAGCAGGUGCGAAAGCAGGUCAUAGUGAUCCGGUGGUUCUGAAUGGAAGGGCCAUCGCUCAACGGAUAAAAGGUACUCCGGGGAUAACAGGCUGAUACCGCCCAAGAGUUCAUAUCGACGGCGGUGUUUGGCACCUCGAUGUCGGCUCAUCACAUCCUGGGGCUGAAGUAGGUCCCAAGGGUAUGGCUGUUCGCCAUUUAAAGUGGUACGCGAGCUGGGUUUAGAACGUCGUGAGACAGUUCGGUCCCUAUCUGCCGUGGGCGCUGGAAGAUUGAGGGGGGCUGCUCCUAGUACGAGAGGACCGGAGUGGACGCAUCACUGGUGUUCGGGUUGUCAUGCCAAUGGCACUGCCCGGUAGCUACAUGCGGAAGAGAUAAGUGCUGAAAGCAUCUAAGCACGAAACUUGCCCCGAGAUGAAUCUUCCCUGAGCCUUUAAGGCUCCUGAAGGAACGUUGAAGACGACGACGUUGAUAGGCCGGGUGUGUAAGCGCAGCGAUGCGUUGAGCUAACCGGUACUAAUGAACCGUGAGGCUUAACCUUACAACGCCGAAG
This 707-nucleotide ribosomal RNA is filed under the name Salmonella enterica. RNAcentral's name for it is "partial 23S ribosomal RNA". It matches the Rfam family "Bacterial large subunit ribosomal RNA", at positions 2236 to 2925 of the family's 2925-position model. Lineage: Bacteria; Pseudomonadati; Pseudomonadota; Gammaproteobacteria; Enterobacterales; Enterobacteriaceae. The record is from RNAcentral.